Molecule: ribosomal RNA, 1123 nt
Filed under: uncultured bacterium
Lineage: Bacteria
Description: bacterial SSU rRNA
Rfam family: Bacterial small subunit ribosomal RNA
Source: RNAcentral
AUUGAUUUUAUGCUUGCAUAAAUGAUUUUUGGAUUCGGAGCGAGUGGCGAACUGGUGAGUAACACGUGGGUAACCUGCCCCGAAGCGGGGGAUAACAUUUGGAAACAAGUGCUAAUACCGCAUAAUUAGUUGGAACCGCAUGGUUCCAACUUGAAAGAUGGCUCUGCUAUCACUUUGGGAUGGACCCGCGCCGUAUUAGUUAGUUGGUGAGAUAAAAGCCCACCAAGACGAUGAUACGUAGCCGACCUGAGAGGGUAAUCGGCCACAUUGGGACUGAGACACGGCCCAGACUCCUACGGGAGGCAGCAGUAGGGAAUCUUCCACAAUGGACGAAAGUCUGAUGGAGCAACGCCGCGUGAGUGAUGAAGGUUUUCGGAUCGUAAAACUCUGUUGUUAAAGAAGAACAAGUGUUAGAGUAACUGUUAACACUUUGACGGUAUUUAACCAGAAAGCCACGGCUAACUACGUGCCAGCAGCCGCGGUAAUACGUAGGUGGCAAGCGUUGUCCGGAUUUAUUGGGCGUAAAGCGAGCGCAGGCGGUUUUGUAAGUCUGCUGUGAAAGCCCUCAGCUCAACUGAGGAAGUGCAGUGGAAACUACAAAACUUGAGUACAGAAGAGGAAAGUGGAACUCCAUGUGUAGCGGUGAAAUGCGUAGAUAUAUGGAAGAACACCAGUGGCGAAGGCGGCUUCCUGGUCUGUUACUGACGCUGAGGCUCGAAAGCAUGGGUAGCGAACAGGAUUAGAUACCCUGGUAGUCCAUGCCGUAAACGAUGAAUACUAGGUGUUGGAGGGUUUCCGCCCUUCAGUGCCGCAGCUAACGCAUUAAGUAUUCCGCCUGGGGAGUACGACCGCAAGGUUGAAACUCAAAGGAAUUGACGGGGGCCCGCACAAGUGGUGGAGCAUGUGGUUUAAUUCGAUGCUACGCGAAGAACCUUACCAGCUCUUGACAUCUUCUGCCAACCCAAGAGAUUGGGCGUUCCCUUCGGGGACAGAAUGACAGGUGGUGCAUGGUUGUCGUCAGCUCGUGUCGUGAGAUGUUGGGUUAAGUCCCGCAACGAGCGCAACCCUUAUUAUUAGUUGCCAGCAUUUAGUUGGGCACUCUAGUGAGACUGCCGGUGAUAAA